Molecule: ribosomal RNA, 156 nt
Filed under: Olea europaea subsp. europaea
Lineage: Eukaryota; Viridiplantae; Streptophyta; Magnoliopsida; Lamiales; Oleaceae
Description: 5_8S_rRNA
Rfam family: 5.8S ribosomal RNA
About the family: 5.8S ribosomal RNA (5.8S rRNA) is a component of the large subunit of the eukaryotic ribosome. It is transcribed by RNA polymerase I as part of the 45S precursor that also contains 18S and 28S rRNA.
Source: RNAcentral
UACUCUCAGCAACGAAUAUCUUGGCUUUUACAUUGAUGAAGAGCGUAGCAAAAUACGAUACUUGGUGUAAAUUGCAGAAUCCCAUGAACUAUCGAGUUUUCAAAUGCAUGUUACACCCGAGGCCAUUAUACCGAGGUCACGUCUACCUGGGCAUUA